GGGAAAAGAAGAAAAAUUUAGAACAACUCUCAAUCCUAAACUAGAAUUAAGACACAUGAAUAUUCUCCUAUAAGACAGAAUUUAUCCAAAGCAUGAUCUUUUCAACCUUUGUAUUUGAGGAUAAAAGUGUGACUUCCAACAGUGUGCGCUAAAUCUGGCACUUACUUCCGAUGUAUCAGGGCAUUUUCCCCCUGGACUUUGUUUCUUCAGCUAAAAAACAUGACCUUUGACUUUCUGAGCAGCUGUAUAUAUUUUUCGAAGAUCAAUCAGGGGAAAAAAAUCACUGGAAAUGGCAAGUGGAUGGGACAGUGCUGCACAGUGUAAAUGACAGCUGAAGGUUGACAAAAACGCAGCCCCCACUUCAGUUCACUGCUCUGUAGCAAAUGUCUCAGUUACUCAUAGAACUAAGCCACUCUGAAGGACAUUCUGGCAGAAAUACUCCUGCCUGCUUUUUAAAAAGAAUGUGUGGUGGGUGAUGGUGGAAUGGCGGGGAAGGUGGAGUGGAAACUCUAAACAUUUGCUCCUAUCUGUCAGAAAUCAUCAUCUGAGAUAAUUUUAUUAUUAGGGAGGGAAAGCAAACCUCAAGCCGUUGCUUUGACCACAGAGGCCAGAGGUGUUUGUGUUUGUUUCAAGAUAUUGAGUCCGGAGUUGAGAUCUGGUAUUUUGCUGGUGACUGCUGAAGAGGAGGGAUUUGGCUCCUGGCAGAACAUAAAGCCAAGCUGACAACAAAGCUUUCCUUUCAAGCUAUCCAAAUGAACACAUUUCUAAUCUGAAAUUCAAAUACUUGACAACAGAGAGCCUGUGAGCUGGGCUUUGAACAGGAAAUUGCUUCAUGGUUUUAGCAUAAUGAAUUAGGCAGUUAGACUAAAUCCAUUUAGCAGGAAAAGAAUGCUUUCACAUGCUAGUGAAAGAAAGGAGGGGGGCAAAACCUUCUUAAUUUCCCAAAUUUCACAGGACUUACAGACACAAAUGCUCCAUAUAAAUUUUAUCUGUUGUGUUCUAUAAUUGGUAUGUAAAAAACCGUCAGGUCCUGGUAUUCAGAAAUCACCUUUGUUAGAAAAUGCUGCGCCUUUUAAUGUUGGGGAAACUGAAUGUGAUGAAUAAAGGUUAACAGUUCUCAUCUUUCUCCGCGUCCUGUUCUUUCCAUGCCAGUGGUGAAUGCAUUUUAAUUCUGGAACUCUUUUUUAGUGGCUGCCAGUGUUAAGUUCAACAGAUACAAUAUUGCACUCUUUUGGGGAACAGGGAAGAGAUGGGGAAGAAGAGAGGAAUCCUCUCGCCUUCCUGGACACUGGGCUGAGAAUUGCACCUCUGAAUCUCAGUCCUGAACACAGGAGGAGCUGCCCAGUCAUCCGGGCUUGUGACAACAGAGGUGGGGGCGAGGGAGGGGUAAAGUUUGCUUGUGUCAGGUCCAUGUAACAAGAUUGACCUUGAGAGAGCCUGUUGACAGACAUCCCUUGGGAAGGAGAGAGCUAGAGAAAAUGAAAAACUUUUAAAAAGGAAGAAACAAAGAAAAGCAACAGUACUAAUAGCAUAAACAAGACAAAGAUCCUGAGAGAGGAGAGGGUUAAAUCCUGUCCCAGGGACGCUCGCAGAGAGGAGGGUUGAUCUGUAACCAGCCACAGCAGCACUUCC
RNAcentral lists this long non-coding RNA (1632 nucleotides) under Homo sapiens (human). RNAcentral describes it as "HSALNT0093764". Lineage: Eukaryota; Metazoa; Chordata; Mammalia; Primates; Hominidae. The record is from RNAcentral.